This is a long non-coding RNA of Cydia fagiglandana, 1143 nucleotides long. RefSeq lists it as uncharacterized. Lineage: Eukaryota; Metazoa; Arthropoda; Insecta; Lepidoptera; Tortricidae. The record is from RefSeq and is a predicted model, not a curated record. The transcript is spliced from 3 exons.
AAGGCCAAGUUCGGCCUGGCCAGCCAGGGUUCACGCUAGACAACGUCAACGAUUUAUUUGGGGUCGCCGUCAUCGAAAACGAUGAGGAGGAGGAGGACUAUACUUACUAACGAUGACACGGCACCGCCGCGUAAAACAAACCUAUGCCGAAAAUCAUAGUUUCAAGUAUUUUGAAGUAGCAAAGCGACGAAAUCACGGAGUGAGCCACGCCUGCCUUCACGGUUUAAAUGCUUAACCCCGGGUUAGUGGGAUGGUGCAAGUGGCUCUAAUCCUCCCUUCCAGUUCCAGUUAUACUUUUAAAAUCUGUAUUUAUAUACCCAUACAAUAUUCAUUUUUUGCAGAUAGUUUCAAGUAUUUUGAAUGCUGUAGCCAGAAGACUGCCAGACAAAUGUGGAUUAAUAAGGUUGUGGAGAUAAAAAAAAAUACAUCCACACUACAGCAUCCGAAAUCUCAAAAUCAUUUGCUUCUAUAUCGAAGAGCUCUCUGGAUUUUUUUGAUGACUUUCCGGUCACUUAUCUUGACAUAAAUGCUGAAGGAAUUAAUUAUGUCACUUUAAAAGGAGACGAAGAGCAGGACGGUAUUAUGAAACAAAGUUAAACAUCACGGCCCGAAGACCACCCAAAUGAUGAAAAUGUAUUAACUAGGUUCAGUUCUUUUCAAAUUUGUAUUAAGGGGAGAAAAUCCAAAAUUAAAAUUCAGAUAAAAACUUUAAUGUUUUAAGAAAUUGUAAGUCAUUUCAAGUUUUAGACAUUUUGAAACAAAAAAAUGUUUUGAGAAGAGUGUGUUUGACAGAUGGUAAAGCUGCGGUUUCUUCUGGGAUGUGGGGAUGCAUAGCGAGGAAUGUGUUUGUAAGAACCAAUACAAAUUGUCCUCCAGGACUGCGCUGAGUGAGGAUAGGUAAUUGAAGUAAUUCUAAUAUUCACUCUAAAGAAACAAAUCUACCUCUCUACGCAUCCUUGCACAUCUCUGAUGGAAUCAUGGUCCUUGCUAAUCUUUGGUGGAAUACCUCAUAGCCUUAUUAUACUUGGUUUUGUGAAAGGCUAACUUUAUAUGAUAUACUUAGUUUAAUUCGUUUAUUUAUAUGUAUUUAAUUGCAAAAGACUGAUUGUUGUAGUAAAUUGUACUAUUUUUAUAUAAGAUAUA